RNAcentral lists this long non-coding RNA (5270 nucleotides) under Manihot esculenta (cassava). RNAcentral describes it as "long non-coding RNA (MESC_LNC002402)". Lineage: Eukaryota; Viridiplantae; Streptophyta; Magnoliopsida; Malpighiales; Euphorbiaceae. The record is from RNAcentral.
UUGGCAGCUCUAAUAUGAGGUUCACACCAACAGAGUCCAACUAUAAUCAUGUUGCUUCUGCUGUCCCUUUGUCAAAUAAUUUGAAGGGAAUGAGAAACCUGCAAUGGGAAGAGCGGUAUCAUCAGUUGCAAGUUUUACUAAAGAAAUUAGAUGAAUCAGAUCAAGAGGAUUAUGUUCAGAGUAUGUGCUUGUGUUACAAAUAUGCAACCAUGAGUAAUCUAAUUUAUCACUUUGGGAUUUUUUUCUUCUAUUGCACUCAUUCACAUAUCAUUUUUGUUUCUAUUAGUGCUGCGUUCACUUUCCUCAGUUGAGCUUAGCAGGCAUGCCGUUGAAUUGGAGAAGAGGUCCAUUCAACUGUCUCUAGAAGAAGGUAACCUGAAAUCUCUGCUUUGAAUCCUCUUCUUUUGUCCCUCCUUAUAAGAUGCUAUAGGUAUGAAGAGAUUAUCAAAUGCAACCUAAGCCAUGGCAGAAAUUUUAACACUGUUAUCUUUUAACCAACUAGUUUUUGAAGAAUGUGCAUUCACAUGCAUCUUGUGUGUGCGACUUUUUUCUUUUUUACAUACAUUCCUCCUUAUUUUUAUUUAGAAUGCCUUUUCUUAUCUUCAUUAUUCUUCUCUUUCUAGUUCUAGGUUUUUUCUCGUUAAGGACUAAGGCAACUUUAAUUUCUACCUUUUUUUUUUUACUUUAUUUUUCUUCCUAUCAAAUAUUUUUUUUUCCUUACAAUAGUUAUACAUCUAACAAGUAUAUCUGAGAACUUUUUUUUUUUGAGCGCAAUGUAUACUAUAUUAUCAUUGUCAAUGUAAGGCCAUAUGAUAAAAAUCCAAAACUUUACAUAUAUUCUCAAUUUUAGGCAGAGCUCUUAAUUUGAUCCUCAAACUUAGAUAUUAAUUUCAACUUUGGCAAUUAUGUAAUUUGAUAAUAGUCUCUUCAAUAGUUAUUAAUCCUAUUAUUAAGUUAAAUGCAUUAAAAAAAUGGAUAUGAUAGGAUAACUAAUAAUUAUGUAAGAACUAUAACUACUUACAAAUAACAAAUAUAAUUAUGUAAUGUCUAUUCAAAUGCUUAUCUUUAUAUUUGCAUUUUUAUAUGUUGGUCUAUCUAUUUAUUAAUUUACAGAACGUCCUUGAGAUUUGACAAAACCCACAUGGUAGUCAUUAAAUUUUUCGGUAACAAAUUAGUUUCUAAGUUUAAUUUCUGUCUAACAAAAUGGUCCUCCCGUGAAUAAAAGGUACAUGUUGCCAUGAGUUGACUAUUAACUAGAGGUUAUAUGUUUUUAACGGUCAAAAUACCCUCUCUAAGUAGCUAAUAUAUUUUUUUUUUGUAAUAAGAAGUUACUUUUAUCCAUUAUUUUGUCAUAAAAAAUUGAGAGGUUAGUAUUUUAAUUUCUGAAGAUUGGUGAACUUGGUUGUAGGAGGCCUUUGUGUGUAGUACGCCUUCAAUAAAGAGGGAAAGAUUUAAGUCCUGCUAUGCAAUUUGUAAUAUAGUUUGAUAUGGAAAACAAUUAACAAGUGCAAGAAGUUAUUAUAGUACACCAUUCCAAAUCAUCUUACCAAUUGGCCUAAUGUACAGGGUGAGAUUAAAAAUGGUGAAAUUACAUGAUUUAUUAUCCAAUAGUUGUUUCGCAGAGACAAAGGGUUGAUCUUUAAAUAUGAAAAAGAGUGGAUCUGAAGGAUCCCAUAUGAAUUGGCUUAUUCGAAAAAAGCCUUGCCUGGGGGAUCUCUAUGAGUCCUCGAAAUAGGAUGAUGUCGUGAAGAAUUUUUAUUCAAACAUUUAUUGGUGGUGAGAUUAAGGAUCAUUGUAAAAUUCAAUUAAUAUAUCAUUUCGAGCAUUGAUGUUAUUUGAUGAAAGCCCUUUUCAAGAAAAAAUGGAGGAAAUAAGAGGGAGAAGGGAGUUUAUUAUUGUUUUUUAAGAAUUAGCAAGCUCAGUGGUUGUGUCUCAUCUCAGUGUUAGGAUGGUGGAGUCAACGGAGUGUCUAUGUUCUGAUGGAUAGUGGUGGUUAUUGAUGGUGGCUAAAGCCCAUAUGGUAGGGAGUUGGCCAUACCUUAUGAACUUUAAUUAAUGAAUUGGAAUGAGUAUACAAAUCUAAUCGUUGUAUAAUAGGAUUAUUUUGAUCGAUUACACCCAUUUAAAAUCUAAGUGCCCUUUUAUGAUUCAUUCUCUUUAUAGUGGGUAAAUGGGUACCAUGGUUUUAAAUAACGGCCCUUAUGUAAGGCCAUUACAUGUUGCCCCGUUAUACAAUGGCCUCUUUGAUUUGCAGGCAUAACGGCCAUUACCAAUAAUUAAAAUUCUUUUAUAUCCUUCCUCUUUUGCUCCCUAUUCUCAUUUUCAUUAGUUUCUACACCUUUCAGCAGUUUCAAAGGCUAUAUUUUUUAAGUUUUCUCUUUUCUUUCUCUUUCCUUUCUCUUUCAAAUUUCAAUCUUCCUUGCAUAUUUCUCAUAUAAGUUUAGAUCCAUCAUAAACUACUCUAUUUUCAAGCUUAUUUCUUCUAAAAAGUUAGUUAAAUUUUAUCUAUUUUAAUUUUUAAUUGUUAUUUUCCCCCACUUUUUUUUUUAAAGUUUUUGUGAAUUAAAGUGUUAGUUUUGAGUUAAAAUUGUACUUUGAGCUAUUAGUUUACUCGAUCUAUAUAGUUUAUGUUGAUUUUUUUUAUAUUUUAAACUAUAUGAUAUUUAACUUAAGUUAAAUAAUCUAUAUUUUAUAUAUUUAUGUUUAUUAUGCAUUUGUAUACAUUGAUCUGAAUUAAAUCUAAUCAAUAUCAUUUCAUUUAUGAAAUUUACAAAUUUUUUUGAAAAAUUUGCGUAGCAUCAGGCUAUUACCGUUACGUUACAGGCUUGUUUCUAUUACCCGCGACCACAAACGUGGCCACGAUUGCGAUUUAAAACCAUUAUGGGUACACAUCAAAAUUUGCCUACUCUGUGCUGCAGUACUGCAACAUUUUGAGCAGACAAUAUACUUGAAUAUAGGUAUCUGCUUAUGCACAUUGCCAUAUGAUGGAGGACUCACUGGAAAUAGAAUGUUUAAAACUAUGGGAUAUUACCUUUCACCUUUUUCUUUCUCACUGUUGGUUUCAAAUGCUUUUUAUACGUACUCAAUAUUGGCCUUUGUAGACAGUGUGAUGUGUGCAUAGCUGUUGCCUCUGCAUAUGCAGGUGUUUGUGUGCUUUUCUGGAAAUGUGUGUGUGUGAGGAGAGAGAGAGAGAGAGAGAUAGAGAAUCUUCAAGUAAUGAUAUCUCCUAAUUGUCCUUGAUAUGUACUCCUAGAUUUAUAUGUUGCUUCAAAGCAUUUGUGAACUUAAAAAACUUCUAUUCUUGUUUAACGCUGAGCAGACUUUGGAGCCUUUUUGCACAUUUUAGAUUAGAUUUUCGCUGAGCUGGUAUAAGGCCUUUCUUUUAGUUUAGCAUGACUUGAGCACAAUAAUCUGGGGCAUCCAUGUUUCAUAUUUGGCAGUCGUAUCUUUUAACAGUUGCUAAAGAAGUUACAAUAACACCAUCGUGAUUGUAUCAUCUCUGCUUUCUUUUUCAUGGGAGUUCAGUAUGGUUGGAUGAGAAACCAUUGGAUUAUUGUUGUACAACCAUCAGGUGUUUUUAGUUUGGCCAUAGAGACCUAUAUAGAGAAGGAGUGAGCAUUCGGUCUGUUCGGUUCAAAAUCGAACUGAACCGAAUAAACUGAAAAUUGAAAUUUUAGUAUUUAUGAAAAUUAAAUCGAACUGAUUUUGGUUAGACCGAACCGAAUUGAUUUUGAUUAGACUGAAUCGAAUUGAACUGGUCUGAUUCGAUUUGGUUUGGAUUUUUAAUAAACUUUUUAUUUUUUUACACUUUAUUUUUAGUAUUUUAAAAUUUAAUUGAAAUAUUUUAACCUUGAUUAUGAUUUAAUCUCUCUAUAUUAUUAAAAAUAAUAUACUAUUAUCACUAAUCAGUUCGAUUUGAUUUUUUUUUUAUUAAAAUCGAACUGAAAUAAUCAAAAAUUUUGAAAUUAAAAAUCGAAUCAAACUGAACCGAAAUGAAUAAAAAAUCAAAUCGAAUUUUUGACUUAAUUCGGUUUGGUCGGUUUUUUUGGUUUGAACCGAAUGCUACCCACUCUUUGAUUGAGUCAUUGAAAUCUUGUUUAGACUGCAAUCAUAUCUUAAUUUAAAUAAUGAAACUUUGGUUUUCUUUAGAAAAUAACAACUACGACAACAAUAAUAAUAAUUAGAUAACCUGUAGUUUGUACAUAUUGCUGGCUGUGAUGGUGUUUGUGUUUGCUUGAAAACUCUCAACUUCGAUAUUUGAGAUAGCCUGAAGCUAAUAGAUAUUUAUCCAUUGUUGCAGCAAAAGAGAUGCAAAGGGUUGGGGUUCUGAAUGUACUGGGAAAGUCCAUGAAGAACAUUAAAGCAUCUGCAACUUGUCAAGGCCAACCAUAGAAAUGAUAGGAUUGAAUAUCAAGUUACUGUUGUAUAGUCCUUUAGCUGAUGAGGGAAAUGUAACUAUAGCUACUGCUACAGCCACUUGAGUAUUUGCUUCAGAUUAUGUGCUCCGAUGUGUUAUUAUGAAGUUCUAUGAAUAGUUGUUUUCUUUUCUUUCUUCUUAAUUGGGUUUCAAGCAGGUUCAAUCUGUAAUUUCGUAGUAAUUUUUAGCAUUGUAAUAUGUUGAGAGUCGAUGCUAUUUCAAGGGAUUGAUACAACUAGGCAGUAGAAGAAAUUGCAAAAACUGAAAAUUGUGAUAGGAAAAUGCGACAAUUGAGAGGUUGAGCCUAGUGAGAAUAUAUAUAUAUUCGUAAAUGAAACAGGGAAACUUCAACGAGGUAAAGAAGUUGCAAACUGACCUUUGAGAAAAAAUAUCAGCUGAAUACAAUCAUAAUUCAUAAGUAAUGUCUUGAAUCUGAAGAGAAGCAAAAUGACCUUGACGCGAAAGAAUGAUUGUGGAAGAAUCAACCUUCAUAAUAAUCUUAGAGAGACUCUUGUAUGUGGCAAGAACUUUGGGACAUGCAGUGCUUCUAAAGGUGAGGGUCUAUCAUCAGUUAAUAGACUCUCGAUGAUCUCUUACCACGAUAACCGAUGCCUCCCUUAUUCCGUUGCCCUUUCAUUCAUACCAAAGAAAAAAGCCGAGGAGCUAAACCAAGGAAAAACCAUUCAUAAUAAAAUUUGAGGUUUACGUCCAUCAUGUUGUUACUAGCGGAGGGAGAUGAGCCUAAACUAAGUGGGGAGUGGAUGUGGGCACAAGAGAAGAGGUGGAAGACUGGUCUCCCUUGAACUAUAGAAAUUAGGAAAAAAUUUUGCUUAUAUUGAAUAUAUAUUUACUC